Molecule: long non-coding RNA, 2095 nt
Organism: Homo sapiens (human)
Lineage: Eukaryota; Metazoa; Chordata; Mammalia; Primates; Hominidae
Product: long intergenic non-protein coding RNA 923
Source: Ensembl
AGAGGACGGGGAGGCGCCGCCGAGAGCGAGCCAGGGCUGCUAGCACGUUGUCACCUUUCACUUGGAGGUAGGGCUUCUAGUAGGAGAGGUGGAGAGAGACAUUGAUGAGGAGGGAGAACCUGAGUUUAGGCCAGGAUUCCAACCGUCCGUUUCAAGAGAAAAUGUUCCUGCUGAAUAACAAGGGGGAAACUUGACCAGGCAGGGCCUGGAAAUUAAGAUGGAAGCUCGAGGUUAUGAGAGGCCAGCGUUUCGGGUGCUGUCCAGGUGACUAGGCCUCUAGAGGUUCUUAGAAAGAGAAAGCAUUCUGUGUGGGACUCAGUCUGGGAAACACUGCAUACUGUGUUCUUGUGGAGUUUCACAAUUAAUGCAAACACAUUAAAGGCUCAGAGAAGUCCUGCAGUAAAGAACAUUUCCAAUACAACCCUGUAUUCCCAGCACAGAUGGCCACAAAGCCACUUUUGUUGGAAGACUCGCCAAGGCAGGACAUUUAUUAAUAUUUUGUGAAAGAAGAAUUAUUUUAUUUAAAAAAAAAUAGAGACAGGAUCUUGCUGUAUUGCCCAGGCUGGUCUUGAACUCCUGGACUCAAGAAAUCCUCCUCGGCCUCUCAAAGUCCGGGGAUUACAGGCAUAAGCCACCGCACCCCGCCAAGAAGAAUUCUUUGGGAACCACUAGCACUCUGGAAUGCUUUACUGUAGAUAUGAAUAAGUGAUUUUUUUUAAAUACAAAAGUCAUAUUAGUAUUAAUUAGUUUUGGUGCAUUUUAGAAAAUACACGUUUUAGAAAGCUUACCCUAAUAACGGUUGGAAGACAUGCUGGAAGAGGUAGCAUGAUAGCAAGUGCUGCAGAGGGAGAGGCGUAACUGGGUUCAAAUUUGCCGCUUGCUGCCUGUGAGUCAAGCCUCACAGGUUUGCAUGGUUUGAUUAAAAUAUGGCUUUAAAGAUCUUAGCACAAAGCCUAGCACAUGGUAAGCACUCACUGUGUGGAAGCUAUUAUAUUAUUUUCAUUUUAUUAUGAUAAAUUGGGGCCGACUAGGUCAAGUCAUCAAAGUUUGGCCCACCCAUGGGAUUUGUAGACUUUUGCAGGGCUGUGCCUCCUUUCCUCCCCAGACAAAAUCCAUCACGUCAGCAGUCACAGGGCACCCUGGUUCCCUCUCUGAAUGAACUGUUAAAUGACUAAGCUGGCUCCCAACAGAGGCAGAGCCCAGCAAUAUGCGGCCUGUAAUCUGUCAGAUGAUACAGCAACAGGCCCAGUGAGGGGCCCGACACACCCCCCAGGAGAGUGGAGUCUCUCACUGCAUGUGACGUGGAAGACGCCGAAGAGGUGAGGGAGGCACCAUAUGCUGCGGGCCUGCCAAGGGAGAAUAAACAGCACCGGCAGCCUGGCACAGAGCUCUGGCGGGAACGUCCACCAAGAUCGGUCAGGCACUCUCAUGGCGUCCUCCUGGAUACAGGCUUUUGCUUUUGUUUUUAAUUUUGGAGCAGUGAAGCCGAAAGUGAGGAGUGAGGACAAGGAGAAGACCCAUUUGCUCCUGUUCAUUCAAACAGCAUCUCUUCAUUUUGAAAUUGGCAAGAGGCAGUUCGGGGCUGUGGCAGGUCCUGUACACCACCUGUUGCCUCCCAAGUCACUGUGCCUUUCUGGCUUUCUUUACCUAUGUCCUGUAAAACGCCAGAUGAGGACAUAGAAAGAUGAACUUAAAGCUGAAAAGUGAACUUAAAGCUGGAAAAAAUGAAGCAAUCUCAGCUAUGAUAGCUGUAAUAGAAAAAUGGAGUUUUCCUCAGUUUUUCUUCCUCAGAAUAAAUGGGAUGAUCCUGAUGGCUGUUUAAGUGGAGAGGAUUUGUUUGGUAAGCACUUCAGGAUGAAGAUGCAUACUUUAAUAGAUUCCCAGAUGAGGAAGCACCUAUAUCUAUGCUUUCCAUCUGCUACUUCUUUGGGAAAAAAUGGAAGACAGAAAUAGCAAAACUUGUAGUCGCUCCAAAUACAUCCUCAGAUAGAGCACAAAAUAUAAUAGACAAAAGCCCUACUAAACCAAGUUUAUGUUUAAUGAAAGCAAGGGCAUAAAAGAAAUACAUAAUGUCUAAAGUAGAUACAUCAAGAAA